GUCGAGAAUAAUUCACAAUGGACGAAAGUCUGAUGGUGCAACGCCGCGUGGAGGAUGAAGGUCUUCGGAUUGUAAACUCCUGUCAUCGGGGAGUAAGACCUGGCGGUAAAUAGCCGACAGGGUUGAUAGUACCCGAAGAGGAAGGGACGGCUAACUUCGUGCCAGCAGCCGCGGUAAUACGAAGGUCCCAAGCGUUGUUCGGAAUCACUGGGCGUAAAGGGAGCGUAGGCGGCGUGGUAAGUCAGAUGUGAAAUCCCGGGGCUCAACCCCGGAACGGCAUCCGAUACUGCCAUGCUUGAGGGUUGGAGAGGUAGCUGGAAUUCUCGGUGUAGCAGUGAAAUGCGUGGAUAUCGAGAGGAACACUCGUGGCGAAGGCGAGCUACUGGACAACAUCUGACGCUGAGGCUCGAAGGCCAGGGGAGCAAAAGGGAUUAGAAACCCGGGUAGUCC
Molecule: ribosomal RNA, 450 nt
Filed under: uncultured bacterium
Lineage: Bacteria
Description: bacterial SSU rRNA
Rfam family: Bacterial small subunit ribosomal RNA
Source: RNAcentral